UUCCUGAUUUUCCCAUCGUUCGGGGCAUUCUGGGGCUGUUUUGGCUAUUGGUUNCUUGUUUGGUCUUGAGCCGAACGGGUGGCUUCUAGCCUGGUGGCUUCGGGGAUGUUGACCGUAAAGGUGGAUGAGUGGUGUUUGGUUUGUUACGUGUGGUUGGCUGCGGCGUUUGCAACAACUUCCAUGCUUUCAGACCUCUUCAUUUGUGCGGCAAGGCUUGUAUCGCCUUCAGCGUAUUGUGGGUUUUCUGUGUUGAAUACCUAAUCAAUGGUAUCGGUUGGAUUGAUCAAUGUUUCAUUUCGUCUGUCGUUGCAUUCGCGGCGUGAGAUGAACCUUUAUGCGGUCUCUUUGAUCCACCUCGUUGAAGCGCAUGCUUUGACGUUGUGGCGCAUUGAGCAUUGCUUGGUCUCUUGUAUGCGGAACAUGUAGUGGGCAUGAAUCUCACGAUUCUCGUUUGCCCUCAUAUUAGCRUAACGCUUCUCUUACACGACUUGCUCCACGUUUUAGCUCG
RNAcentral lists this unclassified non-coding RNA (508 nucleotides) under Artemisia albicans. RNAcentral's name for it is "partial external transcribed spacer". Lineage: Eukaryota; Viridiplantae; Streptophyta; Magnoliopsida; Asterales; Asteraceae. The record is from RNAcentral.